GUCUCAAUUAAGCAUUCUUUUUCCUUCAUCUUCCUUUCAAUCAAUGUUCAAGUUCCAAAUUUGAUCUGGGUGUGUAAAAUUUUCACUUAUUUUUUCGUUUGGAAUUGUUAUUGAUGUUGGAUUAUCCUUUUGGUUGGCUCAUUGAGAUUGAUUUAGGUGGGUGAAUAUACCCAAAUUUGAUUUGGGUAUGUGAUUCUUGUUCCAUGUUACAAAAAUCCCAAUAAUGUAAUCCAUUUGGGCGUAUUUUGAUUUCCUCAUUCAAAUUUCUGGUUGUCUUCUUUUCUUUGUGUAUGAAAAACCUAUGUAUUUUCACAUGCAGUAACUUUUGGUUCUCUUUUAUCAGAUGUAGUGUUAGUUUGGUCUUCCAAUUCAAAUUUUUGGUUGUCUUCCUCUGUUCAUGUAUGAAAAACCCAUAUAUUUUCACAUGCAGUAAAUUUUGGUUGUCUUUUAAUCAGGAUGUGUUUGGGCUACAAAACUCUUCCUGAUUAUCUCCAGUUUGGGUAUAGAAUUGGUAAAUUUUACCAACCAAGGUGUACUUGCAUCUGCUGGCCAUUUUGACUUUGAAAUCUUCUUCCCGAAAGGUUAUGGAAGGGUAUUCUUGCCGAGUGCUAAUAAUAGGAGGCGUUAUGUCUAUGGGUGGGACAUAUCGAUUUUGAUUAACUCUGAUUUCAAUUUUUAUUAAAUCUGAUUCGAGAGGCUAAGUAUUUGGUCACAAUGGGGGGUGAAUGGUCUGGAAUUCGAAUGGAAUUAUUUUUGCUGAAGGAACUAUUGAUAGGAGGUCUGUUUUGAAAUUGUUGGGAGUUAUGUUGGUUGGUUUUUUGCAGGUUUGAUCUCUGAAUAUUUCCACAGAAUCAUUCCCUUUGUGAUUAUUCUUCUCGUUUAGUCCAUUUCCUGUAGCCUGCAUAAACUGCGUACCCUUCUCAUGCUCAUUUUGAUUAACUAGAACAUUACAGGGAACAUUACUAUGAUCAUUAGGAGUUAUCGUGCUAGGGACUAACUUACUUGUGGUGCUAUUGUUGGCCUUUGGUGUAUAAUCCUUAUAAUUUAUUUUGUGGUUUAUGAUAGUUUGAUUUUCUUCUCCUCGACUAUUGUAAGUGUAGCUCUUGAAGAUCCUCCGAAAAUAAACGGCUUAGAUUAAGAUUAUGUGGUGUGGAAAUUUUCAUUUUAUAGUUGAUUCAUCCUGAUUUUUAGGACCCUUUUUUUCUUCUUUUUCCUAAAUCUUUGUGCUGCAAUUAAUUUUGUACUUUUAAUUUACCACAAAUCUGCACUGUGUAAAACGUGUUCUUGUUCUUGAAUUCAUUGUUGCAGAGACCCUUUUAAGCCCAAAGGCCUUUCAUGAUUUUUCGAUAACGUUUUUGUGUGCAGUGUGAAGAUAGGAAUUCGCAAUUAUUACUACUGAAGUCUCAGCGCUACAGUUACCAGCCAUGACAGAAAGAUUGAAUACCAACGAAAUCGACGAGAACACAGAAGAAUGGAUUUGUAAAGUUCAAGUAGUAGAUUAAGGUCAUCCCCGAACGACCAGGGAGGGAAACAAGAAAUAUCAAUUGAUGAUAUUAGAGGAUGAAGAGGCAUUUGUCACUAAACUAAUAAAUACUCAUCUACUUUCACAAAUUACUUUGUAGCAAAAUACAUAUACUGCAUACCAUUUUUACUUUGCUUUUUAAUGGUUGUAAUCUAUCUUGACUCAGUAAUCUUCAGUUCAAUGCUCUUCUACUUAGUUGAAAUAUUGUUCCUUGUGAGUUUUGCUGUCAAGCACUUGUUGUCACUGUAAAUCUACGUUUUACGUUUCUUUUGUUGUAGAAAAGUUACAGAUUGGGUUAAAUGUAAUUGGUUUUGUUUGUAGAA
Solanum lycopersicum (tomato) is the source of this 1845-nucleotide long non-coding RNA. RefSeq lists it as uncharacterized. The record is from RefSeq and is a predicted model, not a curated record. Lineage: Eukaryota; Viridiplantae; Streptophyta; Magnoliopsida; Solanales; Solanaceae.